GAUGAAGAACGUAGCGAAAUGCGAUAAGUAAUGUGAAUUGCAGAAUUCAGUGAAUCAUCGAAUCUUUGAACGCACAUUGCGCCCGUCAGUAUUCUGGCGGGCAUGCCUGUUCGAGCGUCAUUACGCCCCUCAAGUCCCCUGUGGACUUGGUGUUGGGGAUCGGCGAGGCUGGUUUUCCAGCACAGCCGUCCCUUAAAUUAAUUGGCGGUCUCGCCGUGGCCCUCCUCUGCGCAGUAGUAAAACACUCGCAACAGGAGCCCGGCGCGGUCCACUGCCGUAAAACCCCCCAACUUUUUAUAGUUGACCUCGAAUCAGGUAGGACUACCCGCUGAACUUAAGCAUAUCAAUAAGCGGAAGA
Molecule: unclassified non-coding RNA, 358 nt
Filed under: soil metagenome
Description: partial contains 5.8S ribosomal RNA, internal transcribed spacer 2, and large subunit ribosomal RNA
Rfam family: 5.8S ribosomal RNA (bases 1-120)
Source: RNAcentral